Acanthochromis polyacanthus (spiny chromis) is the source of this 1409-nucleotide RNA transcript. RefSeq lists it as uncharacterized. The transcript has 4 exons. The record is from RefSeq and is a predicted model, not a curated record. NCBI's taxonomy places the organism in Eukaryota, Metazoa, Chordata, Actinopteri, Pomacentridae.
CAGAGAAGGUGGAAGACGGGGCGACUGCUGCUGCAGCUCCAGUGAGAGGAGGACGGCAGUGCCCCUUCGAUGAUCGCCACAUUCACAGAGAAGAUCUGAGAAAGGUUUGGAAAGAAUGCCAAGAGGAAAGCUUCUGGUACAGAGGUAGGACACCCAUAUACUUCCCACUAAUUCAAUAGCAACAUGGGAGGCCACCAACUCUGUGUCUGACUUGGGUGUAUUCUUUGUUGUGUAAGUCGUCUGUAGUAGAAGCGGGGACGCAGGGUUCAUCAAUCAAUCUGCUGCUCACCUAAUGCUCCUUAUGUUUACAUUAUUCCCUGUGGAAUCCACAAAACACUCCCACAUGUGGACAAAGCAGUCGUUAUUACAGACAUUUCACAACUGCAUUGCUAUCUUGAUCAUGCUUGCUGUAUGUGUAUUUAUGCUUAUUUCUUCUCAUUUUGUAGGGAAUCAGUGAAGCACUACGACUUGACAGGUCUGACUGAAUAGAUCUUGUUUUAGGUUUGGGUCCUGAAAUGGCCCAUACCUAUAGAUUACACCUAUAAACCAACCUAGACACUGAAAGAAAAAGGAGCUGCUCCAACAAGUGUAUCUAAACUAACAACAAACUGAAGGAUGUUUCAGUUAUUCACACCCUCACAGCUCUAAUGCAGCUGUGAGCAUAAAGUCACCACAACCAAAGUGAUAAAAGCUGCUGUGUACGGCGUGCACGACAGAAAUUAGGUUGUGAGCAUGAACUGCAGUGGCUAGCUCGGCUGAUCACCUGAGAUUAAGAUUCCACAAUCUGAAAAUGUGUUUUCUGUGAUAACACUUGAUUGUCUUGAGCCCCCGGCUUGGAGCGUUCAUUCACUGCCAGCCAUGCAGCUGCUGCUCGUGUUCUCUCAUCGGGCAGCUAUGUAAACAUGAAACGGCAACAGUCAGUGCUUCCUGUGUUCGUCCUUUCCCUUGAAUUCGUCUGACAAAUCGAGUGUCUCUUUUUCACAGGUCAAAGUUCAGUCAGAACUCAAAGAAUCCAUUACAGGAAGUGAAUACACAGCACACCUUGGUGCAUUUACCAUUCGUUUUACAGUGACAUAAAGUGUUAGCACUCAAAGUAAACAGUGAAUGGAAAGUUUUCUUUUCCCUAUUUCCUAUUUUCCUCUUUGACAGAUUGUAGUGCAGAGGAUCUAACUUUGUUCAGAUUUUACUGAAGUAUGUCUCCAUCUGUCUUUCACUGUAUGGUUCUGAUACAACUCCAGUUUGUUUUAUUUCUAUAUUUAGCUCUUCCUUUCUCCCUGGGUAGCAUGGCAGUCACUGGGGGUCUCAUCUACAGAGGUAUUUGGAAGACAUCAAAGGUACUUGGUCCCUUUCCGAAACUAGCAGCUGCGGGGAUCUUUGGUUAUGCAGUGGGGAAAGCAUCAUACGUUGGA